AGAUCCAACCGCAAACGCAAAAAAUUCGAUUCGAAUUUCGAGUCUUUGCGUGCCGAUGAUCUCAAUGAUUAACUUAUCGCGUUGCAAAGAACGCAAGAAAAAUUCUUGUUUGUACUUAUACAAUUAUGCAAUACGGUUAGAUAACGAACCGCCGACGACACGCUCGUUGCGAUGAGUUAGCGAUUUAUCGCAGAAUUUGUUAGUUAUCGAUCGUUAAUGUAUCUGUAAAUUCAUUUAAACCAUCUGUGAGCGUGCGAAGCAUUGAUUGAUGAUCGUUGUCGUGGUGUUCUCCAGAUCUCUUAUACGCAGUAUGGAUUACUCUGACAGGAACUUUUAUCAAGAUAUAAUAACGUUUUGCUUGUGAAAACAAAGUUUUAAUUUAAAUAACAAAAGUGCAAGUAUCGAUACGUAUAUUAAUAUUUUUCUGAUGUCUGUACUAGAUAAGACAGUACAUAUAUAUCUGUACUAGAUAAGAUAUAUAGUACAUAUAUAUCACUCUAACUUAAUCCGUUAAACCAAGCUGAUGCAACCUGUAAGAAGCAAAAAUAAUACAAAGUGC
Molecule: long non-coding RNA, 559 nt
Organism: Mycetomoellerius zeteki
Lineage: Eukaryota; Metazoa; Arthropoda; Insecta; Hymenoptera; Formicidae
Exons: 3
Source: RefSeq, a predicted model, not a curated record